Molecule: unclassified non-coding RNA, 291 nt
Filed under: Hevea brasiliensis (rubber tree)
Lineage: Eukaryota; Viridiplantae; Streptophyta; Magnoliopsida; Malpighiales; Euphorbiaceae
Source: RNAcentral
GCCAAACAGGUCCUAAACAACUGUUUUUGUUAGUUGUCACAGAAAUUUUAGUGACAACUAUGUGUGUGUGUGUUAGCAAGUUAGCAAAACCAUGUAUUUUUCUGUUUACAGUUAUUUCUGAAUCUCUAUAUGAUAUUGACUCUAACUCUCUCUUGCACAUGCACACAUACUGUAAUGCAAGUUUAUCCGCUUGUGCAAUUAUAAUCUGUUUGAGGUGGCUGCGUCAGCCAUACAUGUGCAUUUGCAUUGAUAAAACGUACAUUUUGAGCUUGUAACAUUUAAAAGCCAGAG